UACGGAGGAUGCGAGCGUUAUCCGGAUUUAUUGGGUUUAAAGGGUGCGUAGGCGGUAUGGUAAGUCAGCGGUAAAAGCCCGGGGCUCAACCCCGGCGAGCCGUUGAAACUGCCGUGCUAGAGAGGAAGAGAAGUAGGCGGAAUGCGCAGUGUAGCGGUGAAAUGCUUAGAUAUUGCGCAGGACUCCGAUUGCGAAGGCAGCCUGCUGGACUGUAACUGACGCUGAUGCUCGAAAGUGUGGGUAUCAAACAGG
RNAcentral lists this ribosomal RNA (252 nucleotides) under uncultured Bacteroidales bacterium. Its description in RNAcentral is "partial 16S ribosomal RNA". It matches the Rfam family "Bacterial small subunit ribosomal RNA", at positions 524 to 776 of the family's 1533-position model. The record is from RNAcentral. Lineage: Bacteria; Pseudomonadati; Bacteroidota; Bacteroidia; Bacteroidales.